AAACUUUCAACAACGGAUCUCUUGGUUCUGGCAACGAUGAAGAACGCAGCGAAAUGCGAUAAGUAAUGUGAAUUGCAGAAUUCCGCGAAUCAUCGAAUCUUUGAACGCACAUUGCGCUCGCCAGUACUCUGGCGAGCAUGCCUGUCCGAGCGUCAUUU
This 158-nucleotide ribosomal RNA is filed under the name Spadicoides hyalostoma. RNAcentral describes it as "5.8S ribosomal RNA". It matches the Rfam family "5.8S ribosomal RNA". From Rfam's summary of the family: 5.8S ribosomal RNA (5.8S rRNA) is a component of the large subunit of the eukaryotic ribosome. It is transcribed by RNA polymerase I as part of the 45S precursor that also contains 18S and 28S rRNA. Lineage: Eukaryota; Fungi; Ascomycota; Sordariomycetes; Xenospadicoidales; Xenospadicoidaceae. The record is from RNAcentral.